RNAcentral lists this transfer RNA (73 nucleotides) under Bos taurus (domestic cattle). It matches the Rfam family "tRNA". From Rfam's summary of the family: Transfer RNA (tRNA) molecules are approximately 80 nucleotides in length. Their secondary structure includes four short double-helical elements and three loops (D, anti-codon, and T loops). Further hydrogen bonds mediate the characteristic L-shaped molecular structure. tRNAs have two regions of fundamental functional importance: the anti-codon, which is responsible for specific mRNA codon recognition, and the 3' end, to which the tRNAs corresponding amino acid is attached (by aminoacyl-tRNA synthetases). tRNAs cope with the degeneracy of the genetic code in two manners: having more than one tRNA (with a specific anti-codon) for a particular amino acid; and 'wobble' base-pairing, i.e. permitting non-standard base-pairing at the 3rd anti-codon position. Lineage: Eukaryota; Metazoa; Chordata; Mammalia; Artiodactyla; Bovidae. RNAcentral also lists the same sequence under 4 other names. The record is from Rfam by way of RNAcentral.
UCUCUGGCAGUCCAGUGGUUAGGACUUGGUGCUUUCACUGCCAAGGGCCUGAGUUCAAUCCCUGGUCAGGGAA